UGGUGUCACACCCCUGUGUUGUAACCAAAGCUGGGUGUGACAUUCCAUCCUAGCAAGAUAAGGGCUAUCUGCUUCUAACUGCAGAGACGGCUGGAGACAUUUAGGCAAACUCUUUCCUCUGGUGUUUCAGUUGUCUUCUAGACAUCAUGAAGACAUUCAUAUGUCUUUGGCACAAGAUAUAUGCUGAAAAAGACAACUGCAAUCAAGAAACCUGGAGCCAAACACUCCUAUACCUGACCUUGAAGUUUCUAAAAUGAUUUUGAAUGUUUUCAAUUAAUUGUAACUGUUCUAUUAAACUUCCAGUGUGUUUUGACAAGA
Molecule: long non-coding RNA, 318 nt
Organism: Onychostruthus taczanowskii (white-rumped snowfinch)
Lineage: Eukaryota; Metazoa; Chordata; Aves; Passeriformes; Passeridae
Exons: 2
Source: RefSeq, a predicted model, not a curated record